Molecule: ribosomal RNA, 542 nt
Filed under: Flavobacterium sp. 30-I20
Lineage: Bacteria; Pseudomonadati; Bacteroidota; Flavobacteriia; Flavobacteriales; Flavobacteriaceae
Description: bacterial SSU rRNA
Rfam family: Bacterial small subunit ribosomal RNA
Source: RNAcentral
GUGGUUUAAUUCGAUGAUACGCGAGGAACCUUACCAAGGCUUAAAUGGGAAUUGAUCGGUUUAGAAAUAGACCUUCCUUCGGGCAAUUUUCAAGGUGCUGCAUGGUUGUCGUCAGCUCGUGCCGUGAGGUGUUAGGUUAAGUCCUGCAACGAGCGCAACCCCUGUCACUAGUUGCUAGCAUUAAGUUGAGGACUCUAGUGAGACUGCCUACGCAAGUAGAGAGGAAGGUGGGGAUGACGUCAAAUCAUCACGGCCCUUACGCCUUGGGCCACACACGUAAUACAAUGGCCGGUACAGAGGGCAGCUACACAGCGAUGUGAUGCAAAUCUCGAAAGCCGGUCUCAGUUCGGAUUGGAGUCUGCAACUCGACUCUAUGAAGCUGGAAUCGCUAGUAAUCGCGCAUCAGCCAUGGCGCGGUGAAUACGUUCCCGGGCCUUGUACACACCGCCCGUCAAGCCAUGGAAGUCUGGGGUACCUGAAGUCGGUGACCGUAAAAGGAGCUGCCUAGGGUAAAACAGGUAACUAGGGCUAAGUCGUAACAA